Molecule: non-coding RNA, 799 nt
Organism: Ictidomys tridecemlineatus (thirteen-lined ground squirrel)
Lineage: Eukaryota; Metazoa; Chordata; Mammalia; Rodentia; Sciuridae
Source: RefSeq, a predicted model, not a curated record
AUGUCAUUGGCAGCCCCAUGGAGAGGAAGAGAGCCCCCUGCUCCCAGCCAUGUGAGUGAGCUUGGAGGUGGACCCUCCAGCCCUGAGCAAGGCCUCACAGACUGCAGGCCCAGUGGACAGCCUGGUUGCUGCUUGUGAGACCCCUGAGGAACCACCAGCUAAGCUACUCCCAGAUCUCUGCGAACAACUGCCUCAGGGCAGCAACAGUGCCCCAACACCAUGGCCCUGACUUAUGUCACCAUUCUCAGGAAAUUCUUUCUUAAUGACACCCUCCUCAAAUUAUCUUCUGGUUCUUGCUGACAUGGGACUGGUACAAACCCUAGCCUAGCAGCCAUGGGGAGCCACAGGACUUUGAGCAGAGAAACAAUGUGGCUGACUUCUAACAGGGACUUAGACUCUUCAACUUCUGCCUGCAAAUGUCCAACAGAACAACAGGUCUAAUUGAUAAACAUCUUGUGAGAAGUCAAACCACCUCCAGGCAACAGCAACUUUCUUAUCUCUGACAAGGCCCCACCUGGUCAAUCCUGAGGUAAUGAUCAACUAAAGCCCUUGUCUGUGUAAUCUGAGCUCAUGUCAGUACCUUGAAGACAGGGCUGAGACACUUGCUCUCACUUUGCUUUCCCUGAAGAGCCAUGAUUAAAGUUCCUUUCCUGCUUUUCACUGUUAACUUUUUCUGUUUCAUUCUGGGACAAGUAACUGGAUCUGAUUUGUUGGGACCUCCGGGUUUUACCUCUGGCCUGGGACUCCAGUGCCAAGAUUCGUGUUUUUGAAAGCCCACCAUGGCUGUGCAUGUGGUGGG